Corticium candelabrum is the source of this 320-nucleotide long non-coding RNA. RefSeq lists it as uncharacterized. NCBI's taxonomy places the organism in Eukaryota, Metazoa, Porifera, Homoscleromorpha, Homosclerophorida, Plakinidae. The transcript is spliced from 4 exons. The record is from RefSeq and is a predicted model, not a curated record.
UAUCUAGCACCCAAGGUUUUAGAAGAAAGUGAUUACGGUCGAGCUGUUGACUGGUGGUGUGUGGGUGUGGUUAUGUAUGAGAUGAUUUGUGGUCGGCUGCCAUUUUAUAACAGAGACCAUGAAGUGUUGUUUCAGCUCAUUCUGACUGGAGCAAUCAAGUUUCCUCAAUGAGCGUCUUCUUUGUCAAGAUCUUUGCUAGCUGGACUGCUGGAGAAGGAUCCACGGAAAAGACUUGGUGGAGGUGAUCGUGGUGCAUCUGAUAUUAUGGAUCAUGCCUUCUAUAGCAACAUCAACUGGCAGGACAUUUACGAUCGCAAGGC